Brassica rapa (field mustard) is the source of this 5274-nucleotide long non-coding RNA. RefSeq lists it as uncharacterized. The record is from RefSeq and is a predicted model, not a curated record. NCBI's taxonomy places the organism in Eukaryota, Viridiplantae, Streptophyta, Magnoliopsida, Brassicales, Brassicaceae.
UUUCUUUCAUCUAUUCAUCCACGAAAGUCAUAUUCAAUAUUUGGAAAAUAUCGACUUUAGACUUAAUGUUGUUUCCUAAUUUAACAGCACAAAGCUGACAGUUGAAUAAUGAUGAAGGCCAUGAGGCAAAGUCUAUCAAAAACCUUGCAGUACACAGAUAAGUCUCGGACUAUAGGUUUAUUUGGUUGAUUUAGAAAUGAGAAACGGUAUAUGUUUUACCGUUUAGUGAGUUGACUUAAUUAAAUAUACAAUUGAUGUACAGGUGGUGCAGUCUGUUGUACACAACAGGAGAUUUACACAGCAGGUCGAGCACAGCCGGUCGAGCAGUCAAAGGUUUAGAGACAGAAGCUUUAUUCAUUUGAAGGACAUGGGACAAAGACAUGACUGCAAAGAAAUACAAACCCAAGUUAGAGACAAACCCAUGCUCCUCCAGCAGGCCUGACUUGGAAGUUUCUGAUGUUGCGCCAUACUCCAACCAGAAGAAGCCUUCCUUUACUCUCAAAGAUGGGAAGAAGAGCUCUUCACGCGGACAGAGGAGAGAGGAGAGGGAACAUGAAGACAUGUGGGCCAAGGUAAAUCUGAUUGGUUAAGGUUGUUUGUUGACUCCAUUUGGUUGUUGUGUUUGGUUGAGUGUAUUUAAUUGAAAAAUUAAAUGAAUUAAUGAGGUGGAGAAGAAAUAUAUUAAAGAAAUAAUGGUUAUUAUAGGGAAUUCAAAGACAAAGGGGUAAUGGGAAAAGAGAAGGGACAAGAAGAAUGAAUUUUUUUUCAUAAGGGCAUUUAGAGUUAAAGUCCGGAAAAUGAUGGAGCAAAAUGUCAUUUUUGUCCUUUACUUAAGUAUAAGGAAAAAAUCUGAUAUGGAUAGCAAUGACUUUUAUUCGAUCCCAACACCUCUUGGACGUAAAACCACUCACAAACCACGUCACCAUGUAACAUAUUUUGACUUAGUUUGAAAAUAUAUUAUAUAUAUAACAUAAAUAUAGCAAUAAUAGUUUUAAAACUAGACCCCGAUUAAUCUCUGCGUAAAUCCCGUUAAUUUAUUCGGCGCUAGGCCCAGCGUAGUUUCGAACAAGGUUAAAAAGUCAUGAUUUCUCUUUUAAUAGCAUAGAUGAAGUGCAAAACUGUUUCUCUCGUGUAAAAUUGGAGAUGGAGCUCUUUCGGGACACUAGUUGAUGUUGCAGGGGAAAAUGGUCCAUGCCUAAUGGGAACUCCAAAACAAACAGUCGAGUCAGAUUUUAAUGGAGAAAAACAGGUCAUCUCCGUCUUGAAUAUUCAACCAAGGUAACAUGGGACUUACUAAGACCAUCAGACAUACGACUAAACCAUGGGCCAAAGCAGUUCAGUUCAAGAAUGCAAUACCUCGCCAUGCUCUCACGUUUUGGACAGUCAACCUAAACAGGCUUCCUGUUAGAGAGAGACUGGUAAAUUGGAGAAUGGCCUAUAAUGCCACAGUUGAAGCAAAGAGUUUGGUAGUGUUGAAAUAACCAAAAAAAAAUUUACCAAGAAGAGAGUAAAUGAUGUGAAGAGACUCUCUUGGUAUUACACUUCCAUAAUUUUCUACAAUCUUAUACUUUUGUUUUUUAGUUACAAUGGUCAACAUUAAUUUGCAAUUUUUAAUUUAUUUAAUUUAAUCUUAUGGAAUUACCUUACUUUUCGACACUGAAUGCCAUUCAGCCAUAAGUUUAGUUGGUCAAUAUUUUUCUGUAUAUUUGGCAUGUUACAUUAUAUAUCCCAAAAGAAACUAUAAAUACUACCCUUUGGGUAUUUGAGUUUUUAGAUCUAAAAUGAAUCAUCUCAUUAUUUUUAUAUUAGUUAUUGUUAUGUGUUUUGGUUCUAAAAAAACUAGUGGGUGUUCUCCAAACACUUUACAAUUUAAAAACCAACUUACAGCUGAUCAUACACUCGUUGUAGUCUGCGAGUCCAACAGAGGCGAACACAAAGAUUACAAGUAUGUACAAUUCAAUGAAAUAUACAACUUUCAGGUUGUAGAGAGAGGAAAAAAUAGAAUAGUAUGGAAAUAUAAAAGGACGGACUUGAAGAAUUACCGUGAUGUUAUAUUAUGGAGAGCAUAUAGAGGAGCCGCAAUGACUCGAUGUGGUCAGAUACACGAAUAUAUUGCUGAUCUUAAAGGUGUUUCUUUAGUGAAAAAUAAGAAACCGACCAAAGAAUUUUUUCCUUGGGGUAAACCAUUCUAUAAGGGCUAGUAUUUAUGAAGCUUAAAUUUUUUUUGUGCCUUGUACGUUGAGCCAUUUUAUUUAUUUAUUUUGGGUUAUAAUAUACAAACGAAUAACAAAAGUCUAUAAAUGCAAUUCAUUCAGUUUAUCUUUAUGUCUUGUUUGAUUAUUUUUGAGUAGUUACCUUGUUAGACUUAGGGUUUAUAUGGUUAUGGUGAAUUACUAAUAUUAGAACUGCUAAAGUGAUCAAUUAACAUCCUUCACAGAGUUAGGACUUAUUGCUUGCAUUCUAGAGUAGCUAACUAGGAUCAUGAUUUAGGAGUUAACAACUGCGAGAGUAAGCUCAUACUUAGCAAUAAUUCUGCUAAGCUAGGUUGUUAGACAUGAGCUGUACCUAGCUGGUUUAACCAAUUUAGUGAACUUAUCGAUCUAAUCUUAAAGCUUGUUUGGAAGUUUAUCGAUCGACACCCUAUAGGUGUAUCGAUCGACACCCAUUCCAUAUGACACACGAGAGUGUUGACAUCGAUUCAAACACGUAGACUCGCAGCGAGAGCUUGAUAUCUUACAUUACUAUUCGAGUUCUAGGAUUGAUUAUCACAUGCACUUAGCAACUAUAUCAUAAUUUGGAUUACCUAACCUGAAAGUCUAGGUUUUAUCUUAUCUGUGAACACACAUCUCAUCUAUCUUAUUUACUGCUAUUUAAUAUUUACAGUCUUAAUAAUCGUUUACCUAGUUUGAUCUUACUAUUCAUCUGAUCUAUUGUGUGCCCCCACUCCAUGUGGAUUCGAUCCCUAAGUGUUACAUCUCAUCUCUUAUUUGAGAGAAUUUUGGCUCAAGGGUUAAUCCUACUCCAACAUGUUUAGUUGGUGACUUCCAUGAUGCAUCUAGUCAUCUACAAUAGUAUUCUGUUUCAUGAUGGAGAACAUCAGUUAUGGAGUUCAAAGAGGAAGAACGAGUAACCUGAGAUGAGUGCAUCCCUAACUGAUUUGCCUCUCUCCAAACUCUUUCAUCCAUUAGCGUAACAUUAACAACUAGAGCUAUAUGGUCCCUUUUGUUCUCAUAAACAAGCUUAUUACGGAUUUUCCAAAUUCUCCAACCUACAAAGAAUGGAAGAGUAUUAAGAGGUUGGGAAUUUUUUAUUAUGUCCAUCAAGUUCUGGAAAACCUCAAAGAUAGCAUUGUCAGAUUCUUGUUGGCAAGAAAGUUCGCCAAGAGAGAAAGACCAGAUUUCUUUCGCCACUCUACAUGAUAUUAACAUAUGAUAGAUACUUUCAAUCUCUUCUCCACAAACCUAGAAAUAUCUAUAUAUUAUGAUUCCUCUCAUGUUCAAAUUUUCAGCCAUCGAUAGGCCUUUAUGAAGAACUUUCCACCAGAAAAUAUUUACUUGAGGUGGUAUGCUAAGAUUCCACAGCCUAUUAAUGAGGUUAUGCUGAUGCAUUAAAAGAGGAGAGGAAUGAACCUGAUUGGCAACGUCCUCAUAAUCCACUGCUCUUUGGACAUGGUACCCGCUUUUAACUGUAUAAUUUUAAAACGAAACAACAAAUGCAAAAAUAUAAUCAAAAUUUGGGGCACAAAAUUUUGCAAAACCAUAACAAAAGAUUCUAAAGAGAAAGGCACAACUAUAGCAAAUCUUCGAGAUUUCAGAACACAAUAAUGUCCAAAAGGAAACACAGCAAAACACAAACAAAAAUAUUUUAUUAAACCUAGUCGGCCUUGGCAGCAGAAGCAGCAUCUUGCCCUCUGAUACGACCAGUUCUCCUAGCAGCAAUAAGACCAACCUUCUGUCCCGGAGCUGCAUCACGUCUAACAGCACUGACGUGACCAAUGUGCUGAUGGUUACCUCCUCCAUUGGGAUCCUCCACUGGAUUCAUAUAGCCACACCACGAUCCUUAGGCCAUGAGUUCCUCUUAACACUGUACUUGUGGUAUGUGUUUUCUGCCUUGAUCAUCGGCUUCUCAGUCUUUCCACCACCAGCAACUUGACCGAUCAUAGCCCUGCAUCCACUCGGAACAAUCUUCUUCGAAGCAGAUGGCAACUCGAUCAUCUCACAACAUAUAUAACCCAUUAAUCAAAGUGAAAUUGAGAAACAAAUGUAUUUAAACCAAUCAUUCUUUACAACAACAAAUUAUUAGCACGAUCAAUUUAACCAUAGCUCAUAUUCAAAGACAAAACCUUCAAAACCAUAUUCAAAUAAGAUUAGCAUGGCCUUUGCGCAAGGAUGACAUGCACAAAUUGAGAAAUGUCCAAAUUGUUUCUAAAAUUUUCCGGAUCGGGUUUGGUUUUCCAUGUUUCUGAGUUUUGGAUGGACCAACAUCCACGGAAACUGCUCCGUGGUUAUGAAAUCCUAUUACUUGUCAUGAACCCUUUUUGAACAAAUUCUUCUUUUAAGAACCAACUGCCAUUGAUGCCUUUUAAUUGAGGAUUAGGCAUCUCUUCUUCUGUGUACUCAACACUGCUCAGAUUUCCAGUUUAGACACAGAAACAGGAGAAUUUGGAGGCUUGUCUCUUACUACAUUCACAUAAGUACACCUGUGAAUUUUCUAUGCAUUUCAAAGCAAAUCAUUUUGUUAAGAAAACGCUUUAACGAGCUAAGCAUCUACGUUGCUCACAUCUCUACUUAUAUCUGAACUUUCUCAGUAUUUUAGAAACAUGAAUCAGGAGUUUUGAUAAAAUAAGAUCCUCAAUGAGCACAAAAGCUUACAUGAACGCGCCAAAGCUGUGUAUAUCAGUCUUUGCAGUGAAUGUGCGUAAGUAACAACGUUGAGCACAAAUUAAGUUUGUGCCUAGACUUGAGAAGAGUCAUCAAAAUCUUCGCCGAUUAUAUAUUUAAGGUAAAAUCUUCGCCGAUUAUAUAUUUAAGGUUGUUUCUACAGCUUUUAGAAUGUUGUUACAAACUGACGCAAGAUUCGAUUAGCAUCCAGAAAGUAUUACCACGAAUAUAUAAUUUAAUUUUAGAACAAAACGAGAGAUGCACAAAUAUAUUUAAAAAAUGUGAAAUGAAAAUUGCAAAGGCAUAAUAACUUGGACAGAGAAGGACAAGAUUAUAACAAAAUCUUUUUGAGAUUUCAGAACACAACAAGGUCCAAAAGGAAAUACAACAAAAC